CAGUCGCCACGGUAAUACGGAGGGUCCGAGCGUUAAUCGGAAUUACUGGGCGUAAAGCGUGCGCAGGCGGUUUGUUAAGCGAGAUGUGAAAGCCCUGGGCUCAACCUAGGAAUAGCAUUUCGAACUGGCGAACUAGAGUCUUGUAGAGGGGGGUAGAAUUCCAGGUGUAGCGGUGAAAUGCGUAGAGAUCUGGAGGAAUACCGGUGGCGAAGGCGGCCCCCUGGACAAAGACUGACGCUCAUGCACGAAAGCGUGGGGAGCAAACAGGAUUAGAUACCCGGGUAGUCCCUGUCUCUUAUAC
This 301-nucleotide ribosomal RNA is filed under the name uncultured bacterium. RNAcentral describes it as "partial 16S ribosomal RNA". It matches the Rfam family "Bacterial small subunit ribosomal RNA", at positions 509 to 807 of the family's 1533-position model. The record is from RNAcentral.